Mauremys mutica (yellowpond turtle) is the source of this 4547-nucleotide RNA transcript. It is a transcript of the gene named dynamin 3, with no coding region annotated. The record is from RefSeq and is a predicted model, not a curated record. Lineage: Eukaryota; Metazoa; Chordata; Testudines; Geoemydidae. The transcript is spliced from 26 exons.
UCCGUUACCUGUCAGCGGCCGCGGGAUGGAGGGGCUCAUCGAGCUGGUGAACCGGCUGCAGGACGCCUUCGCGGCGCUGGGGCAGAGCUGCCUGUUGGAGCUGCCGCAGAUCGCUGUGGUGGGCGGGCAGAGCGCCGGCAAGAGCUCGGUGCUGGAGAACUGCGUCUCCAGGGAUUUUCUUCCACGAGGAUCUGGAAUUGUAACAAGGCGACCAUUGGUUUUACAGCUUGUCACUGCCAAAACAGAAUAUGCUGAGUUCCUACACUGCAAAGGGAGGAAGUUUACAGAUUUUGAUGAGGUUCGUCAAGAAAUUGAAGCAGAAACAGACAGAGUGACGGGACUGAAUAAAGGCAUUUCUUCAAUUCCUAUUAAUUUAAGAGUGUAUUCCCCACAUGUGCUAAGCCUGACCCUUGUUGAUUUGCCUGGAAUCACUAAAGUGCCAGUAGGGGAUCAACCUCCAGAUAUAGAGCAACAGAUCAGAGAGAUGAUUAUGCAGUUUAUUUCUCGUGAAAACUGUCUGAUCCUGGCUGUGACUCCAGCCAACACUGAUCUUGCUAACUCAGAUGCAUUGAAGUUAGCUAAAGAAGUAGACCCUCAAGGCCUGAGAACCAUUGGUGUAAUUACAAAACUGGAUUUGAUGGAUGAAGGAACUGAUGCAACAGAGAUUCUGGAGAACAAGUUGCUCCCUCUUCGUAGAGGGUAUAUUGGAGUUGUAAACAGAAGUCAGAAAGACAUUGAUGGGAAGAAGGAUAUUAAGGCAGCCAUGCUGGCAGAAAGGAAAUUCUUCCUUUCCCAUCCAGCUUACAGGCAUAUGGCAGACCGGAUGGGAACACCAUAUCUGCAGAAAGUUCUAAAUCAGCAACUCACCAAUCACAUUCGAGAUACACUGCCAACCUUCAGGAGCAAACUUCAGAGCCAGCUGCUUUCUAUAGAGCAUGAAGUAGAGGCAUAUAAAAACUUUAAACCAGAAGAUCCGACUAGAAAGACUAAAGCCUUACUGCAGAUGGUUCAACAGUUCUCAGUGGACUUUGAAAAAAGAAUUGAAGGAUCAGGGGAUCAAGUUGACACAUUAGAACUAUCUGGUGGUGCCAAAAUCAAUCGUAUUUUCCAUGAGCGUUUUCCUUUUGAACUAGUAAAGAUGGAAUUCAAUGAGAAAGAACUGCGGAGAGAAAUAAGCUAUGCAAUCAAAAACAUACAUGGUAUCAGAACAGGUUUGUUUACUCCAGACAUGGCCUUCGAGGCUAUAGUUAAAAAACAGAUAGUGAAGCUGAAAGGGCCUUGCUUAAAAAGCGUGGAUCUGGUGAUGCAAGAGUUAAUCAACACUGUCAAGAAAUGCACUAAAAAGCUGGCGACCUAUCCAAGGCUGUGUGAGGAAACAGAAAGGAUUGUUGCUGGCCACAUUCGAGACAGAGAAGAGAAGACCAAGGAACAGGUACUGCUGCUAAUUGAUAUCCAGGUAUCUUACAUCAAUACCAACCACGAAGACUUCAUUGGCUUUGCAAAUGCCCAACAACGAAGCAGUCAGGUUAACAAAAGUGCAGUUGGAAAUCAGGGAGCCAAUCUACCGCCUUCACGGCAAAUUCCACAGGUGAUCCGGAAAGGCUGGCUCACCAUCAACAAUAUCGGCAUCAUGAAAGGGGGAUCCAAGGAAUAUUGGUUUGUUCUGACAGCAGAAAGCUUGUCCUGGUAUAAAGAUGAUGAGGAAAAGGAAAAGAAGUACAUGCUUCCCUUGGACAACCUGAAAGUGCGAGAUGUUGAAAAGAGCUUCAUGUCUAGCAAACAUAUUUUUGCCUUGUUUAACACGGAGCAAAGGAAUGUUUACAAGGAUUAUCGCUUCCUUGAGCUGGCCUGUGAUGCCCAGGAGGAGAUGGAUAGCUGGAAGGCAUCCCUGCUGCGUGCUGGUGUCUAUCCUGAUAAAUCCUCAAUGGAAAACGAUGAGAACAGCCAGGCAGACAAUUUCUCCAUGGACCCCCAACUGGAGAGGCAGGUGGAGACUAUUCGCAACCUUGUGGACUCCUACAUGUCUAUUAUCAAUAAGUGUAUUCGUGAUCUGAUACCAAAAACAAUCAUGCAUCUUAUGAUCAACAACGUAAAAGAAUUCAUAAAUGCAGAGCUCCUGGCUCACUUGUAUUCCUCUGAGGACCAAAACACCUUGAUGGAGGAGUCAGCAGAACAGGCUCAGAGGCGAGAUGAGGGGCUUCGCCUGUACCAAGCCCUAAAAGAAGCACUGGCAAUCAUUGGAGAUAUUAGCACUAGCACUGUAUCUAUCCCUGCCCCACCUCCAGUUGAUGAUUCCUGGCUACAGCAAUCCCGCAGAUCACCCCCUCCAAGUCCUUCAACUCAGAGAAGGCCUACAUUAAAUAAUCCCCCAACCAGACCUUUAUCUGGCCGAGGACCUGCUCCAGCAGUCCCAUCUCCAGGCCCUCUGUCUGGGGCUCCACCAGUCCCAUUCCGUCCAGGACCAUUACCUCCAUUUCCUAACAACAGUGAAGGUCUUGGGACACCACCGCAGGUUCCAUCUCGGCCAACGCGGGCUCCUCCCAGUGUUCCAAGGUUCCUGUUAUAACUAUCGACCGCAUUCCAGAUCCUGCUACCACCUGGCAGCUCGGCAAGGAGAGCAGCUCCUCGCAUAGCCCAGGCAAGCCCACUAGAAGGAAGUCAUCCUUGACCAAGAGUAGAAACCAGUUUGUAAGGGAAAGCUACAACCCCCCAGGAUUCAGACCCUCAGCCCUGGGAGCGCUCCCAUGCAAAACGAGCUGUCUGAUGACUUCUCCAUGCAAGCAGAGCUGUGGCUCUCGGAAGAACCAGAGGUGCAUUUCCCCAGGGCCUGGUCUAAGGGCAGGCAGCUUUCAUCACAGAGAACUACUAGUGCAGCAAACGACUGACGCAAACCUGCUGCUCUCUCUUCCCUUGUCUGGGCAAUUACGGAAAGCCAGGUUGAUGUCCCUCAACCCUGUGAGAGCCAAAGCCCCCGAUCCUGCCUUCUGUGGCCUCAUCGUAGCAGAGAGGCUCUGGACCAGGCCAGCACUUCCUGACAAGCCCGUCUCUCUCCACACUUCGUACCUCCCAGAAAUCCUUCACUACACCUCUCUCUGCUCCCUGGGGGAAGAAGAAGAAGAUGAGGGCAGCAAGCCGCAGGAGCCCAGGGACUGCAGAGUGAGGAAGCACCAUCUGGACAGCAAUUUGAUUUGCUAGGGCUGGGACAGCUGGGAAGCAGGGAGAACCUGGCCCACCUGGCUGGAUGUCAUGGUAUAAUUGUUUCCUCUCCUGUACCCAUGACAAUGGCUGAGUCGCCAUUUGGCCCUCUCCAGACCCCUACCCCAAUAUGAUGGCUUAUGACUGAAUCUCAAAUACAGAUCUUUGGCUCACAGCAAAUUUUCCUCUUUUUGUUCUGCUGACGCUGCCCAGCGAGAUAUACAGAGGCACCCUGCUCCACAGGUCAGGGCUGCUCCCUUUGGUAGCUAGGAACCUAGAAAAAUGGCCAGGAGCAAUGGGGGGCUCCUUACAUACUCCCCCUGCUCAGACCGAAGCCUAUAGGACAGGUCAGCCACCACCCACCCAUCCGCUGCGUUAAUACCUGUAGACGGCGCCACCGCUGACAGUUUAUUACACAGUCAUAGUGGAGCUCAGCACUUAUCCCUGGUAGAGCAAAACCUCGCCUGUUCCUCUGGGAUGGGAGGAGCCAUUGCGGAGCAGACAAAGAGAGGAUCUCUGCACCCCUUUGCUGAGCUUCAUGCCAGUUGCACAGAGCUCUGGAUGGGGUGGCUGGGACUGGGAUUAUGCCUCACUGCUGGCCACGAAUUUCAGAGAGGCAGUGGGGGACUCCAGGAGACCUGGCUCUGCCACUGGCCUGCUGGGUGACCAUGGGCAGUCACUGCCCUGCUCUGGGCCUCAGUUUCCCCAUCUGUAAAAUGGCAACAAUGAGUCCCUUAGCUCUUUUUUACGAAGCACUUUGAGUGCUCCAGAGGAAAGGGGCUACAUAAGCACGAGGUGGGAAUAGGACGCUAGCGGGCAAGGAUGGGCUGCAGAGUUGCCUGACACCCACUCCGAGGGUUCGGGUGUUGAUUCCCUUCCCUCAGCUCCUCUGGCAUGACCCGCCCCAAGCCCAUUAGUCAGGCUGCAUGGGGAGAAAAGAGGGAAUUUCACCCAGGUUGAAUGAGCAAUUGGGUGAAUGAUCGUACCAUCCUGGGUCUUCUAUUUAACAAGGCACUGGACUCACUGUGCCCCCCAUGCGACUGCUACCGUGGUCCUUAGCAUUGAGAAGAAGUUGCUCUUCAGUAGCUAGUUUCAUUUUAGUCCUAGAAGGUGCCAGCUGUGAAAGUCUGAUGACAAAUUGUAAUUCUGAUAUGCAUAUGGAUCACUGUCAGGCAGUGACCUCCGCAUUUGAUGGCUAUGUCCGUGCCCUCUCAGAAAGGCGUGCCAUGGAGUUGUGUUGCUGUGAACCGAUGAAUAUUUUAAUCUUCUGCUCCUUUAAAAAUGUCUGGCUGUAAUACUAGAAGGGGGGUGGGGCUGGAAUUUAACUAGCUGUCAGUGAGCCAGGCAUCCGA